AGAGUUUGAUCAUGGCUCAGAUUGAACGCUGGCGGCAUGCCUUACACAUGCAAGUCGAACGGCAGCAUGAUCUAGCUUGCUAGAUUGAUGGCGAGUGGCGAACGGGUGAGUAAUACAUCGGAACGUGCCCUGUAGUGGGGGAUAACUAGUCGAAAGAUUAGCUAAUACCGCAUACGACCUGAGGGUGAAAGUGGGGGACCGCAAGGCCUCAUGCUAUAGGAGCGGCCGAUGUCUGAUUAGCUAGUUGGUGGGGUAAAGGCCCACCAAGGCGACGAUCAGUAGCUGGUCUGAGAGGACGAUCAGCCACACUGGGACUGAGACACGGCCCAGACUCCUACGGGAGGCAGCAGUGGGGAAUUUUGGACAAUGGGGGCAACCCUGAUCCAGCAAUGCCGCGUGUGUGAAGAAGGCCUUCGGGUUGUAAAGCACUUUUGUCCGGAAAGAAAUCGCACUUACUAAUAUUAGGUGUGGAUGACGGUACCGGAAGAAUAAGGACCGGCUAACUACGUGCCAGCAGCCGCGGUAAUACGUAGGGUCCAAGCGUUAAUCGGAAUUACUGGGCGUAAAGCGUGCGCAGGCGGUUGUGCAAGACCGAUGUGAAAUCCCCGGGCUUAACCUGGGAAUUGCAUUGGUGACUGCACGGCUAGAGUGUGUCAGAGGGGGGUAGAAUUCCACGUGUAGCAGUGAAAUGCGUAGAGAUGUGGAGGAAUACCGAUGGCGAAGGCAGCCCCCUGGGAUAACACUGACGCUCAUGCACGAAAGCGUGGGGAGCAAACAGGAUUAGAUACCCUGGUAGUCCACGCCCUAAACGAUGUCAACUAGUUGUUGGGGAUUCAUUUCCUUAGUAACGUAGCUAACGCGUGAAGUUGACCGCCUGGGGAGUACGGUCGCAAGAUUAAAACUCAAAGGAAUUGACGGGGACCCGCACAAGCGGUGGAUGAUGUGGAUUAAUUCGAUGCAACGCGAAAAACCUUACCUACCCUUGACAUGCCACUAACGAAGCAGAGAUGCAUUAGGUGCUCGAAAGAGAAAGUGGACACAGGUGCUGCAUGGCUGUCGUCAGCUCGUGUCGUGAGAUGUUGGGUUAAGUCCCGCAACGAGCGCAACCCUUGUCUCUAGUUGCUACGAAAGGGCACUCUAGAGAGACUGCCGGUGACAAACCGGAGGAAGGUGGGGAUGACGUCAAGUCCUCAUGGCCCUUAUGGGUAGGGCUUCACACGUCAUACAAUGGUGCAUACAGAGGGUUGCCAAGCCGCGAGGUGGAGCUAAUCCCAGAAAAUGCAUCGUAGUCCGGAUCGUAGUCUGCAACUCGACUACGUGAAGCUGGAAUCGCUAGUAAUCGCGGAUCAGCAUGCCGCGGUGAAU
RNAcentral lists this ribosomal RNA (1365 nucleotides) under uncultured bacterium. RNAcentral describes it as "bacterial SSU rRNA". It matches the Rfam family "Bacterial small subunit ribosomal RNA", at positions 8 to 1367 of the family's 1533-position model. The record is from RNAcentral.